RNAcentral lists this long non-coding RNA (825 nucleotides) under Populus tremula. Its description in RNAcentral is "long non-coding RNA (PTRE_LNC000911)". Lineage: Eukaryota; Viridiplantae; Streptophyta; Magnoliopsida; Malpighiales; Salicaceae. The record is from RNAcentral.
GUGGUAAUUAUUUAUUACAUUAACUGUAAGCGAAACCUGAGAAUGACCGGUCAUUCUAACCCCACGUGUCAAAACAAAUCAAUCAUCCGUUACAUGCAAAAGAAUAAAUUUACUCUGAGGGAGUGGAGACCUGAAAGUCAAGGAGAAAAAUCAUUAAGCUAUAAACUACAGUCAAUUAAAUGUAUGUGAGUGUCUCUCUCUAUAUAUAUUUUUAUUAAUUAAAAUAAACUUAUUUAUUUAUUUUUAACAAUAUUUUUUUUUAAAUUUGUGAACAAAAUCCUAUCUCUACUACCAGCAAAAACAGGGUGCGAAGACACCAUCCUUGGCUUGAUUCUGAAAAACGACAAGUCCACAACUUGAUAAACCUAUAGAAUAAAGAAACCUCACUCUCACUAGCAGUGGUCGGUCACUCCACCCUUUCUUAUCUCGAAAAUGGCAUAGCCGUAAAUAUAUCCAAUAACCAGCACCUAAAGAGAAACGCUCCCUCUUUAAUAUCAACGACAAAAUAAAAAUAGAAAAAAAUCAGUACACUACUCUAAACAGCAGCAGCAAGUCUCCAACAACAUUAACAUCUCAUAGUAGGUCUCCCUCUCCCUCUCGCUGUAUCUCUUGCGGCUAGGGUUUUUCUUUCUUUUCUUUCUCUCUCUAACUUUAUUGAGUUCUUUAUUCUUACAGAUCUAGAUUCAUGAUAAAACAAGAAACGAUAAAUAUGGAGGUCUUGUUACCUUAGGGUUUCGUGGAGGUGUUUUUUGUGGCGUGUUAGUUUGAUUGUUGUUGAGGUUUUUGUUUAUCGGAAAUGGCGACGAUCAAUCCUUUUGAUUUAUU